AAUUUAAUAAUAUUUUAUUUCUAUUUGCAGGUACUGGAUCAUCAUCGUCGUCUGGAGCAGUGAGUUUGGCACGGCAUAAAGCGCUGGAUGAGCGCGUGUGCAUGGUGCGGCAGGAGACGUGGACAUUGCACAGCGCCGUGCAGAGUGGAUGGAGCGAUCGCCGUGGUCCUCCAGGUGACCCGGGAUUCGGCCAAAUUUGUGUGGCGAUGGUUGCCAGCAGCCAUGAAGUGCAGGAAAACCACCCCUGCGUGGAUUCGGAUGCGCCAUGUGAGGCCUGCCAGCAGCCGUGGUGACGCUCGUCGAUUGCACCCCUCCGGAGGCCGGACGCCCAUGGUGAAGCAUCGGGGGAACGACUGGAGGCAUCGCCCGGUGUCGCAAGCGUGUUUUCACGCGCUUCAGGAAUACCGACAAAGACCAACACAGGAGUAUUGGACUAGCUGCGGCCGGAUUGCGGCAUCGCAGUGAGCGGCGCCUUGCUGCAACAGAGUGCAGAGUGACUGCGGCGUUGUGUGCAAUGAGCCGGCCGGCAUCAUCGUCGUUGUUGUAGACGUCGUCGUCUGAGAUGGAUUGGACAUCGUCGUCGUCGCCAUCUGUGAUGAUUUGGACGUCGUCGUGGUCGGCAUCUGUGAUGAUUUGGACGUCGUCGUCGUCGGCGACCACCCGUUCAAGGCGCUGUCGGACUUGCUCCAGUCCGUGGUCCAGAAGUGCCUCUUGCGGAUUGCGUUGAUGGCUGUCGUCCAGGGUGCGUGAGCUGCUGCUUGCAGCCCGUGUCUGGCAACGAUGAUGUGACGUCUGCAGGUUGCUGCUCGCCAGAAUUUGCUGCGUCUGUUGCUGAGUCUGCUGCUGGGUAUGCUGCUGGGUGAUCGGGAUCCCCCUCGUAAUCUGGCAAGAUUAUUCUUUGGACAGAAACUGGCUGGCCAAAGAUAAGAGCCACUAUUCUUUCUCGGGAGUUUGGCCGCUGAGCUCCUCCUCUUCGAGACGGACCAGCGUUGGAAGCGAUUCCUCGGGGAUGGCCGGAUCUGGAUGUUGUUGUUGAUGGCUGCUCCGAUCCUGAUUUUGAGGCUGCAGCGGGCGGAAGUGUUGUAGCAGCUGUUGCAGAUAUCGUGGCCUCUGCAAUCGCUGUGGCUCAUACGGCUGCAGUAAUAGUUUCCGAGCCUCCGGAUUGACAUGGCAGGCCAAGGAGUUGGCGAAGCGCCCACUUGACGUAUGGAACACUUCGUCAAUUGUGACUAGAUUGCUUUGCACCCGUCGCAGCUGGCAACCGGAUGUAAGUGCGCCCCAAACCGGAAGACCAUAUUGCCAAAUGGGCAUGAUGAGCUGCUUGAUGACGAUAGCCUUGAUUUCGUUAGGCAGCCGGCUUCUGGGUCCAGCAAGCCACUCCAGUUUUUUCGCUCUUGCUCUCAGUUUGUUGCAUAGUCCAGUUAUGUGAGAGUUAAAGCCGGCGGUUGCCUUAUGUCCAUAGCUCGCAAUGUCCUUAGUGUACACAUGACGUGUCCGGUUUUUUUUGCGUUGACACUGAUGCACCACUUCUUGGUGAAGUGUUGCAGGUAUGGCUGGUUAUUUUUGACUGCCACAUUUGGGAUUGCAGAUGCGCUCAUUAUCACCGUGUCGUCGGCAUACGUGGACAGCAACAUUGAUUCCCGUUCUGGAUGGAAGCCAGUGCUGUCCGGGAUGAUGUGAGGCAUGGGCAUGUCCGAAGCAUAGAUUGUGUACAGUAUUGGCCCAAGUACACUACCCUGCGGGACUCCAGCAGCAAUUUUUCCCGUUCUGGACACAUCGCCAUCGACGCAGCUCACACAAAACGUACGGUCGGAUAGGUAGCUUUCCAAGAUUCUGUACAAAUUGACAGGCAGCAGCUUUAUCAACUUGUACAGCAGCCCCUCAUGCCAAACUCGAUCGAAUGCCUCGGAUAUGUCCAGGAAGAUUGCAGAACAGUACUGCUUCUUUUCAUACGCCUUUAGUAUGAAUUGUGUGACGCGAGCCAGCUGCUGCUCGGUACCAUGCUCACGCCUGAAUCCAAACUGGUAAUUGGGUACGGCCUUGGCAAAAUCUUCUACAUUAAACAGCCUCGCCAUCAGCAGCUUCUCAAGUAUUUUUGAUAGGCCCGACAACAGACUGAUGGGCCGGUAAGAGCUCAUAUCAGCUGUGUUCUUGCCCGGGUAAAGGUCAUUUUUAUGUGGGCAUGUUUCCAUUGACUUGGGAAUUGCCCCAGCCUGAAAAUUAAAUUGUAAAUUAGGAUCAAAUAAAGCAACGCUUUUUUUGGCAGUUUUUUAAUCAAUGUAUUUUCAAUGCCGUCUCCUCCAGGUGACUUGGCCAGCUCCAGUACGUUGAUGAUGUCAAUCAGUUCUGGAAGAGUGACUGGCCUAAAUGGGAUCCCGCCUGCCUGGUCCAGAUGUUGAUGCUGCUGCCGCUUUGUGUUCUCCAGUUCUCUGCUGAUUGCCGCCCGCUCAUCAUCUGAAUUGGAGAGGAUUGGGCUGAAUCGCUCCUUCAGCUGCCUCGCCACCAACAUUGACAAUUUCCUGCCAAAUGGGAGGAAUAUGAGGCCCCUUUUGAUGACGCUGCC
This is a long non-coding RNA of Drosophila miranda, 2563 nucleotides long. RefSeq lists it as uncharacterized. The transcript has 5 exons. Lineage: Eukaryota; Metazoa; Arthropoda; Insecta; Diptera; Drosophilidae. The record is from RefSeq and is a predicted model, not a curated record.